This 253-nucleotide ribosomal RNA is filed under the name uncultured bacterium. Its description in RNAcentral is "partial 16S ribosomal RNA". It matches the Rfam family "Bacterial small subunit ribosomal RNA", at positions 524 to 776 of the family's 1533-position model. The record is from RNAcentral.
UACGUAGGGUGCGAGCGUUAAUCGGAAUUACUGGGCGUAAAGCGUGCGCAGGCGGUUUUGUAAGCCAGAUGUGAAAUCCCCGGGCUUAACCUGGGAAUGGCAUUUGGGACUGCAAGGCUUGAGUGCGGCAGAGGAGACUGGAACUCCUGGUGUAGCAGUGAAAUGCGUAGAUAUCAGGAGGAAUACCGAUGGCGAAGGCAGGUCUCUGGGCUGACACUGACGCUCAUGCACGAAAGCGUGGGGAGCAAACAGG